UACAGAGACUGCAAGCGUUAUUCGGAUUCACUGGGCGUAAAGGGUGCGUAGGUGGUCGUUUAAGUCCGUUGUGAAAUCCCUGGGCUCAACCUGGGAAUGGCAGUGGAUACUGGACGGCUAGAAUGCGGUAGAGGGUAGUGGAAUUCCCGGUGUAGUGGUGAUAUGCGUAGAUAUCGGGAGGAACACCUGUGGCGAAGGCGGCUUUCUGGGCCCUACCUGACGCUGAGACGCGAAAGCGUGGGGAGCGAACCGG
This 253-nucleotide ribosomal RNA is filed under the name uncultured bacterium. RNAcentral's name for it is "partial 16S ribosomal RNA". It matches the Rfam family "Bacterial small subunit ribosomal RNA", at positions 524 to 776 of the family's 1533-position model. The record is from RNAcentral.